UCAUCUUUUAAUUAAAAAUGCAUCCAAUAACCCAAUUCUCAAAUUUUCAAAUUAUAUUUCUAUCUCACACUUUGAAAAUUACUCAUAUCAAUACCAACAAUUUUCAACUCAAUCAAAUAAUCCUAAUAUGCCUUAUGGGGUUCAAUUGGAUAGUAGUGGUGUACAAUUAAAUGAUCAAGAGCUUGCAACAUCAUAAUUUUGCACUCAAAGUGACUUAGAAACUAGUAUUAUCCUGGUGAAGAAGUCAGAACUACAUCGGUUAUGAAUAUGUCGAAAAUAAAAUUUCAAUAAAAAAAAGAUAAACUUCUCAUUUAAUCAUGACUCAAUAUUUUAAAGGAUCAAUUGUAAGGAUUGAUAAAAAAAGAAGAUAGUUUUUGAAAGAGAAUUGAUUAAAAUUAUAACAACCACUCUCUCAAAAAAAAAAUUAUAACGACCAUCGCCUCAAGAAUAUAUAUAUAUAUAUAUUUCUUAUAACUUACUUGUGUCGUGUAGUUUUCUUAUAAUGAGGAUACACUAUUUUAGCCAGCAAACCUUCAGCAACUAUAGAGUAUAGACAUCGUAAAUGGUCUACACAUAUAGGAAUAUGCUUCAUAUAUUCAUAGCCACGACAUUCCUACUUCAUUGGUUCCUUGUUUGGCCAACAUUCUGGUUCCUAUUAUCUUCUAACCAAUGGUGAGUUUAUGCAUUAAUAGAAUAAGCUAAUAACAAAAGGUUUGCUUCAAUUUGUAUACAAAAAGUUCCACUUAAC
Molecule: long non-coding RNA, 748 nt
Filed under: Medicago truncatula (barrel medic)
Lineage: Eukaryota; Viridiplantae; Streptophyta; Magnoliopsida; Fabales; Fabaceae
Description: long non-coding RNA (MTRU_LNC005688)
Source: RNAcentral